GGGGGACUUGACACACUCCGGCAAGUGUUGCAGCCAUUCCCACCAGGCCAUAAGCUUGCGGUGAUGCCACUUCCAAGAUGGAAAGUUGAAGUAUUGGACUAGACUGAGCAACUGCAAAACCAAUCAGUUUCCCAUAUGCCAUUCCUGUUGCUGCACCAAUAAAAAGGGAUGGGGCAUAAUAACCCCCCACUAAUCCAGAAGCCCGGCACAAAGAGGUA
RNAcentral lists this unclassified non-coding RNA (218 nucleotides) under Hevea brasiliensis (rubber tree). Lineage: Eukaryota; Viridiplantae; Streptophyta; Magnoliopsida; Malpighiales; Euphorbiaceae. The record is from RNAcentral.